RNAcentral lists this ribosomal RNA (485 nucleotides) under Fasciola gigantica. RNAcentral describes it as "eukaryotic LSU rRNA". The stretch from base 423 to 485 matches the Rfam family "Eukaryotic large subunit ribosomal RNA", at positions 1 to 63 of the family's 3401-position model. Lineage: Eukaryota; Metazoa; Platyhelminthes; Trematoda; Plagiorchiida; Fasciolidae. The record is from RNAcentral.
UCUUGAACGCAUAUUGCGGCCAUGGGUUAGCCUGUGGCCACGCCUGUCCGAGGGUCGGCUUAUAAACUAUCACGACGCCCAAAAAGUCGUGGCUUGGGUUUUGCCAGCUGGCGUGAUCUCCUCUAUGAGUAAUCAUGUGAGGUGCCAGAUCUAUGGCGUUUCCCUAAUGUAUCCGGAUGCACCCUUGUCUUGGCAAAAAGCCGUGGUGAGGUGCAGUGGCGGAAUCGUGGUUUAAUAAUCGGGUUGGUACUCAGUUGUCAGUGUGUUCGGCGAUCCCCUAGUCGGCACACUCAUGAUUUCUGGGAUAAUUCCAUACCAGGCACGUUCCGUUACUGUUACUUUGUCAUUGGUUUGAUGCUGAACUUGGUCAUGUGUCUGAUGCUAUUUCAUAUAACGACGGUACCCUUCGUGGUCUGUCUUCCUGACCUCGGUUCAGACGUGAUUACCCGCUGAACUUAAGCAUAUCACUAAGCGGAGGAAAAGAA